AUGUGCCAAGGCAAAAGGGUGGAUGGCAAGAUUGUGUCCCAAGACCACAAACAACUCACGUCCGAGUUCAUCGCUUACAGGCUCUCGAACUCAAUAUCCACACUUCCAACAAUGAGCGUCCAACAUGUCAUUGACCUUGUGAAAGCCAUCUUUCAUUACCAGGUGAAAUACGGCAAGGCAUGGAAGGCGAAGCAAGCCGCAUUUAAGAUGUUGUAUGGUACAUGGGAGGAAGCAUACAACCGAAUCCCUAGGUUGUUGUUAGCCAUGGCCGCGACAAACCCGGGCAUGGUUCAUGUGGUCGAGCCUCAUGGGCACCAAACAACGGUUCAUGAAGGAAGGAAAGUCAGAGUAUUUGGCCGUGCUUUUUGGGCGUUCGAGCAAUGUGUGAGGGCUUUCGAACAUUGUAGGCCGGUCAUCGCAAUUGAUGGCACGCUCUUGACCGGACAAUACAAGGGCACCUUGUUGGUUGCGAUAGCAAGUGAUGCCAAUAACCGGGUGUUGCCAUUGGCAUUUGCUUUGGUUGAGGUGGAAAACAAUGACAACUGGGAGUGGUUUCUGCAUCUUUUGAGGAUGAAGGUGUUACCCGCUCAAAGGGAAAUUUGUGUCAUAUCGGAUCGGAAUCAAGGAAUUCUUAACGCCGUGGAGAUUGACAUUCCCGGGCAUGCUCCGUUGCACCAUCGAUGGUGCAUGAGGCACUUUUGUUCGAACUUCUAUAGGGCAUGUGGCCUUAAGGAGUUGGCCGAUGAUCUUCAAGAUUGUUGUCUCGCUUUCUCCGAUAAGCGCUUCGCCACUUUGUACAACAAAUUGCUCGCACACAAAAAACUUGAUCCCGGGGGUCAAGACUUUCUCAAUAGGCACAUUCAAUACCGGAACAAGUGGGCACGUGCUUUUGAUGAAGAUGGCCGGAGAUACGGUCAAAUGACAAGCAAUAUGGCCGAAUGCUUCAAUAGGGUGCUCAAAGGUGCACGUGGAUUACCCGUGACGGCAAUAGUUCAAUACACAUU
RNAcentral lists this ribosomal RNA (1004 nucleotides) under Triticum aestivum (bread wheat). Its description in RNAcentral is "partial small subunit ribosomal RNA". The record is from RNAcentral. Lineage: Eukaryota; Viridiplantae; Streptophyta; Magnoliopsida; Poales; Poaceae.